UACGAUCGCUGGCGGCAUGCCUAACACAUGCAAGUCGAACGAGACCUUCGGGUCUAGUGGCGCACGGGUGCGUAACGCGUGGGAAUCUGCCCAAAGGUUCGGAAUAACUCGGGGAAACCCGAGCUAAUGCCGGAUGAUGUCUUCGGACCAAAGAUUUAUCGCCUUUGGAUGAGCCCGCGUCGGAUUAGCUUGUUGGUGAGGUAAAAGCUCACCAAGGCGACGAUCCGUAGCUGGUCUGAGAGGAUGAUCAGCCACACUGGGACUGAGACGCGGCCCAGACUCCUACGGGAGGCAGCAGUGGGGAAUAUUGGACAAUGGGCGCAAGCCUGAUCCAGCAAUGCCGCGUGAGUGAUGAAGGCCUUAGGGUUGUAAAGCUCUUUUACCCGGGAUGAUAAUGACAGUACCGGGAGAAUAAGCCCCGGCUAACUCCGUGCCAGCAGCCGCGGUAAGUACGGAGGGGGCGUAGCGUUGUUCGGAAUUACUGGGCGUAAAGCGCACGU
This 500-nucleotide ribosomal RNA is filed under the name uncultured bacterium. Its description in RNAcentral is "bacterial SSU rRNA". It matches the Rfam family "Bacterial small subunit ribosomal RNA", at positions 28 to 572 of the family's 1533-position model. The record is from RNAcentral.